GAUCCACCUUCUGCUGCCCAGCCACAUCUGUCUGCACUGGUGGCUUUGGGAGCAUCAGCCUUGUGAAAAGCACAUUUAUGGUGAUUUCUGUGACAGGGCUGUGCCCUGCGCUGUGGCAGCUCCUGUGCCCUCAGCCAACACCACCUUCAGCUGGCCUGGGCUGACCCUUCCUGGUGCCAACGCCACUGGUUUGUCCCUGGGACGUGGCACUGGGGAUGCUGGGAAUGAGUCCUGCAGCGACAGGGACACCUUUACCUGAACACCAGAGCCAGGACGCUUCUGGUUCCAUGAUGGGAAUUGCUGAAUAUUUCCUGAGGCAGACAGGGGACAAUACUCAUCAUCUUUUGGGACAACAUCAAUCAUCCCUCAGCCACAGCCCAUCUCUGUCAUCCCCACCAACACCAGGGAUCCCCCAAGAGCUAGAAUUGCACAGAAUUCACGAAGGCAGCAAGAGGAGAAAUUCCUGCAGAACGACAGAAUCGCCUGGAGAAAACCUCCCAAGCCAUUGAGGCCAACCUUCAACUGAGGAAUUUCCUGUGCAGCUCCUGCCCUGCCAGGCCAGCGGCUCGGUGCUGGCAGCAGGGAUGGGCACGGCUCUGCUGCAGGAGGGGCUGCAGCCACCCCGGAGGGAGCCCAGCUCCUGCCCUGGAGAGCUCACAGCAUCAUCCAGAUCCCUUCCUGCAGCCAAAGCAAGGGGAAUCCAGUCCAAAUGCCACAUUUUGAGAUGCAUGAGGCAGCAGAGGAGAGACAGCACCAAUAUUUGUAAUUGCCUGGCUCCUGUUGGACAUUUCCAGAUGCUGCAGGAGUGAUGGUGCCUCCUCAGAGCGUUGUUGCAUUUCCUGGAUGCAGGAUCCUUCUGCCACUCCCUCUUCCUUGUAACCCCAGGAGCCGCAUCUUUGGGGAGGGAGGGAGAUGAGU
Molecule: long non-coding RNA, 918 nt
Organism: Parus major (Great Tit)
Lineage: Eukaryota; Metazoa; Chordata; Aves; Passeriformes; Paridae
Exons: 4
Source: RefSeq, a predicted model, not a curated record